GACGAACGCUGGCGGCGUGCUUAACACAUGCAAGUCGAACGGAAAGGCCCUGCUUUUGUGGGGUGCUCGAGUGGCGAACGGGUGAGUAACACGUGAGUAACCUGCCCUUGACUUUGGGAUAACUUCAGGAAACUGGGGCUAAUACCGGAUAGGAGCUCCUGCUGCUUGGUGGGUGUUGGAAAGUUUCGGCGGUUGGGGAUGGACUCGCGGCUUAUCAGCUUGUUGGUGGGGUAGUGGCUUACCAAGGCGUUGACGGGUAGCCGGCCUGAGAGUGUGACCGGCCACAUUGGGACGGAGAUACGGCCCAGACUGCGACGGGAGGCAGCAGUGGGGAAUAUUGCACAAUGGGCGGAAGCCUGAUGCAGCAACGCCGCGUGCGGGAUGACGGCCUUCGGGUUGUAAACCGCUUUCGCCUGUGACGAAGCGUGAGUGACGGUAAUGGGUAAAGAAGCACCGGCUAACUACGUG
This 468-nucleotide ribosomal RNA is filed under the name uncultured bacterium. RNAcentral's name for it is "partial 16S ribosomal RNA". It matches the Rfam family "Bacterial small subunit ribosomal RNA", at positions 28 to 507 of the family's 1533-position model. The record is from RNAcentral.